Molecule: long non-coding RNA, 456 nt
Organism: Scatophagus argus
Lineage: Eukaryota; Metazoa; Chordata; Actinopteri; Scatophagidae
Exons: 4
Source: RefSeq, a predicted model, not a curated record
AGGAAGAGAGCAGCAGUGAAAAGAAAAAGCAAUUUGUUGUGUGCUUUUAAGGAAAUAUAAUUUCAGAGGGGAUUGAUGAAAAUAGCAUGCAGUUUUAUGUGCAUUUACUGUAAGAGUGUUUUGAUAUUUUGCUGUUUUGCAUGCAGGUGGAGUCAGACAUAUGGAGAAGGAGGUCAUUUCUCUGUUUGGAUCCAGGUGUCAGAGGCUACCAGUGAUGCCACCUGCAUUCACACUGUUGAUAAAAGAGCAAACAAGGCAUACCUGCCUCUUCUGGUGGCAGCUCUCUUACUUGCCAUAAUCACUGUCUUAUUCAUUUUGGCACCCUUCAUCUCCAGGAGGUGCUGUACAUCAGAAUUUAUUAAGACCAUUUGCUGCCAAGGCCCACAGUGCUCAGUGGAUAAUGGCGGCACGGUGGUGCAGUGGUUAGCACUGUCGCUUCAUACCCAGAGGGUUCCA